Molecule: long non-coding RNA, 1573 nt
Filed under: Marmota monax (woodchuck)
Lineage: Eukaryota; Metazoa; Chordata; Mammalia; Rodentia; Sciuridae
Source: RNAcentral
UUUAACACUGAGCUACAUCCCAAGCCUUUUUUUUUUUGAGACAGAAUCUCACUAAGUUGCUUGGGGUCUAACUAAGUUUCGAAUCAACUUGUGAUCCUCCUGCCUCAGCCCACAGGUUGCUGGGAUUACAGGCAUGUGCCACCAAACCCAGCAGUAUUUUGAGUUUUUUACAGAAUGUCUCCUAAGAUGGAUAUUUCUUUGUAUGACCUUAACAAUUAAGGAGAUCUACAGGGCGCAGUGGAACACGCCUGUAAUCCUAGCAGCUCAGGAGGCCUAGGCAGGAGGAUGGCAAGUUCAAAGCCAGCCUCAGCAACUUAGCAAGACCCUGUUCUCAAAAUAUAAAGAGUGAUUUGACUUGGGGAUUUGCCUCAGUGGUUAAAUACCCUUGGCUUCAAUCCCUGGUCCAAAAAAGAGAUGGAGAUCUUAAAGUUGAACUGAAAUGCUUUCAAUGUUCACCUGGAUCAUUCAGGUCCUUCGCGAGUCCCGCCAAGAACAAGACCCUCACUAUUUUUUGAAUACGGUACCUCCCUCUGUGUACCUUCUCUUGAUCUUUAUGUCCCAUCACCCACAACUCUAUGAUGCUUUGAACUCAAAGAUGGGCCAUGUGGCUCAUCUGUUGUCUUCUGUGCACUUAGAUGCCAGUCACUCAGACAAUAAUUAUAAUCCUUUCAGUAAUGCUUCAAGCUAUCUAGUACCCCCUCAUAUAGAAGAGGAACUUCAAGUUCAGAAUAAGGCUGCACAGCCAAAGUUGGCCACGUCCAGAUGUGGACUCAAGUAUGCCAAACUGUGAAGCUGAGAUUCUUUGAGAAGCAUCAUGCUGUAUCACUGAACCCAACUCAGAACAUUUGUACAAAGAAAAAUUCUAAAACCUUAUUCAUUGGUAAAAUGAAUGAACUACCUGGAGAAAAUAAGCCUUGUCACUACCCUCCCUUCUUCCUUCCAGUGCUUGAUGAGAAGGGCUCUCAAGCGUGAUGGAGCAGACAAGAAUUAGCUUUCCACAUAUCCACAUGUUACUUUCCACAUAACCUCUUAAGGUUCAGUGGGGGGGGGGAAUAUUGUUAGGUGCUGGGGAGGCUGUUCUCCUAGGGAUACCUGAGUGAGCAAGACAGGGCAAGAGGUCAGAUGGUGGCCAGCAACAAGGACUGCACAGCCAGCCAGCCUUGGGAGGCUGAUGGUAACAGUGCCUUCUGUGCAUAGAACAGUUGGCAGUUCCAGAGCAUUUUCACAUAUGUUGUCUGGAGUCUCACAUCAAUCCUGUAACAAAUGAGGCAAGUAUCUUAAUAGUUGAAAUCUGCACCGAGAAGAUAUCAAUAUAGUAUUACAGCUAAUAAGCAAAGGAGCUGUGUCUUUUGAAUCAUCUACCCUCUGUUUCAUCAUAUACUUGAAGAUCUGAAGUCAGAGUUUGCUGUUGAUAAGGAAUUGUUCAUGUCACUCUGACAUAAUUCCAUGUAACUAUUGUCUCAUAGUAGUGAGACACAAAUAGUAAACUUACUGACUCAUUUACUUUUCUAUUAUAUAGUCAAAAAUUGAAAAUUUAAUUAUCACAUGUAAUUAUCCAGUGUCAACAUUAAGG